UGUCCAGGCUGGUAAACAAACACCGCUGGGUGUUUUACCUGGGUUUUUAGGAGCGGCUUUGGGUUUCAGUGAAUGUGCUUUGUUACAGGAGCCCAGAUCCUUUGCACGGUGCUGCUGAUCAAACCCGGCGCCUGGAGUCAUAGUUUUGCGAGGAUCCUCUGGAAACUUGACCUAGAAAAAUUCCGUGUGGUUGGGAUGAAACACAUAAACCUGGAAGCAGACGUUGCCUUAGGGCUCCUUUCUUCUGAAGUGAAGCAGGAUCCUGCUGCUUUAGAAGCUCAUUGUUCCUACCUUACCUCAGGCACUGCUCUCGUGCUGUGUCUUCAAAGACCCAAUGCUGUGAAGAAGCUGAUAGAUUUACUGGGGCCAGAGGACCCUAAACUGGCCCAAGCACAAGAUCCCUUCCUCUGGAGGGCCCAAUAUGGCAUCAGCGCAGUCCAAAAUGGAUUUUACGGCUCCAAAUCCUAUCAAAUAGCUGUCCGGGAUAUGAAGCUGUUUUUCCCAGAAGGGCUGUGCUGCGCUGAGUGUCAGACAUUAGAGGAGGAAGAGAUCUAUAACUUGCAGCGUGACCCCAUCGUUGGUUUGGAAAUCAACAGGCAGCGCAGGAUCAUAAAACGUGGGACGGGAGGGCGACGCCGUUCGCUGGGCUCCGAGCAGCGGCACGGCCUGGGUAAGGAAACGCCUAACCCAACCUGUGUUAUAGUUUGCGGCUGGUAUUGAUUAAUUGGACAGUGAGACGAACCAUCUGGUGGCAGCAAGAUUUGGUAUCGAUGUCCUUUCAGAAGGGAGAGACAACUCUGAGCUGCAAAGAACAGCUCUGGUGGAGUCCAGCCGUUUAACUCUUUACCUGCCAGGCCUUUCCACCACUGGUGCUUUUGUGGGGGCUU
This 887-nucleotide long non-coding RNA is filed under the name Calidris pygmaea (Spoon-billed sandpiper). RNAcentral's name for it is "lncRNA (ENSCPGG00000009165.1)". The record is from RNAcentral. Lineage: Eukaryota; Metazoa; Chordata; Aves; Charadriiformes; Scolopacidae.